UGGCAGUCCAACAUAUUGCCUAUUAUUAUUCAACAUUUGGAACAUUAUUGGCUUCAGUUCAAAAUUCCCAGCUUGGAUUGCUAGCUUAACAACUCCUGGUUGUAUGUCAUCCAAGACAGGUACUACAAAAUCUCGUAUAGGCCUGUUUUGUAUUUGAGCAUCUUGCUGGAACGGUGGGUCAUUAGCAUUUUGGUUUUGC
This 199-nucleotide long non-coding RNA is filed under the name Gossypium barbadense (sea-island cotton). RNAcentral's name for it is "long non-coding RNA (GBAR_LNC021628)". The record is from RNAcentral. Lineage: Eukaryota; Viridiplantae; Streptophyta; Magnoliopsida; Malvales; Malvaceae.